Molecule: non-coding RNA, 804 nt
Organism: Penaeus vannamei (Pacific white shrimp)
Lineage: Eukaryota; Metazoa; Arthropoda; Malacostraca; Decapoda; Penaeidae
Source: RefSeq, a predicted model, not a curated record
CAGGCAUGCUGGACUACAUGAUUUGGCCGUGGGUUGAGAGGCUUCCAAUGGCAGAGAUGAUGGCAGGAGGUUUGAAGGUCUUCCAGCAAGAAACCUUUCCCAAAUUGUCCUCUUGGAUGGAGGCAAUGAUACAAGACAAAGUUGUUCAGGCCACCUACUUACCACCAGAAGCGCAUAUUGAGUACCUUACUUCCAUUAGAAAUCGGACAGUGACGCUAUCCAAGCUUUCGUAAAACUUGAGAUGGACUUUCUGUAAAUGGACUGAACUAUGAAUCAAGUUUGCUUGGGUGGAGAAAAUGAAGGAAGACAAAGCUGUGAGUGCAGUCUUCAUAAGUGCCGAAUCCCAUUUCAAGUUCCUGAAGUCACACGUCGAUGGUGCUCCAGCUUACGACAUGGAGGUUUAAGGACUCAAUCAUUCCAGGAUAAAGUGAAGACAGACUUGAAAACACAAAGAGGAUGUUUAUGCCGUUUUCCUUUAGGAUUUGUUCAGGCUCUGAAUGGUAUUCAUUAUAGUUAAUGAUUUGUUGAAUCAGUAAAUUAACUUCUUAUUUACUGAUUGGGAAAGCAUUCAUUUAUUUAGAAAGCUUAAAAAUACUUUGUUGUGAAGCUUCAUAUGUAUGAAACUUAUCAGUGAAAGUAUGAUGAAAAGCUUCUGUCUUUGUGUUGUUUUAAAUGAAAUCUCUAUAUAUAUGUUAAAUAUAUGUUGGAUAAUAAUUUUAAAUCUGUCAGGGAUCAUUAAAAACAUUGUUUCAAUGAAUUUGUUUUAUGUUUUAAUAUCAAGAAUAAUAAUGUCUGUUGAAUAUA